RNAcentral lists this ribosomal RNA (1308 nucleotides) under Triticum aestivum (bread wheat). RNAcentral describes it as "partial small subunit ribosomal RNA". The record is from RNAcentral. Lineage: Eukaryota; Viridiplantae; Streptophyta; Magnoliopsida; Poales; Poaceae.
AUGGGGAAGAGCAAGAAGAGCAAGGUCCGCGGCGGCGGAGGGGACGACCUUCUGGACAGCAGCGACGCCGACAGCGUGGGCUCGUCGUCCACCGCGCUCUCAGAUCUCUCCAUCUCGUACGCCACCGAGAACGUCAACUCGCACGAGUUUGUUCUCGACAAGUACAUCGACGCUCUCUACGAGAAGAGGGGUUCUACAAGAGAGGCAGCGUUGGCUUCAUUGGUUGAUGCUUUUGAAAGUUUUAUGCUUGGUGGUCUUGUUGAGAACAAAUAUGCCACUCUACUGAGUCUAUUCAAUACUUCGAUCAAGAAGGGAUCUACCAAGGAGGCUUGCCUGGCAUCUCGCGCCAUUGGGCUACUGUCUAUUACACUUGGUGCUGGCAGUAGCUCACAUGAAACAAUGGUAGAAUCACAUCCACAGCUUUCUAAGGUCCUUCAAACCUGGUCGGAUGCUUCAAAGAUGAUCUCUGCUCUUGACUGCUUGGCGGUCGUCACAUUUGUUGGUGCAACUGAUCUGGCUGAAACAGAGGUAUCUUUGAAAGCCAUGUGGGAUGUGAUUCAUCCAAAAUCAGGUUCAAAUGUCGGUACUGUCCGGAAACCAAGGCCACCUGUGUUAGCAGCUGCUCUAUCUGCAUGGACUUUUCUGCUAACAACUAUUGGUUCAUGGCGGAUAAACACUGAUAGCUGGAAGGAGCCAAUUGCGUUUCUCUCUACUCUUCUAGGAGCAGAGGAUCGUGCUGUUCGGAUGGCUGCUGGUGAAGCAUUAGCUUUGUGCUUUGAGUUAAAUCUACUUGAUAUCUCCCCUUCUGAAGAUGCUGAUGAUGACACUGGAGUACCUGGUAGCUCUAAGGGCAAACUUUUCCUGGAUAUGCAAGCAUUGAAAGCCAAGAUAGCCGGUCUUGCCUCAAAUCUCUCUGCGGAGGCAGGGGGCAAAGGCGCAGACAAGAAAAAUCUUUCUGACCAAAGAGAUCUGUUUCAACGGAUUUUGGAUUUUGUCAAGUAUGGCGAGUGCCCUGAAGAAUCAAUGAAGAUUGCUGGAAAACGUGAUGUUUUAAGGGUUGCAUCAUGGUCUGAAUUGAUUCAGUUGAACUUCUUCAAGCGUUUCCUUGGGAGAGGCUUCCUGAAGCAUGUGCAGGACAAUGGACUUCUUCAAGAUAUCUUCAACAUCAAGGCUGACAAGGCUGAAACGCUGUCAUCGAAUGACAAGAAAAUCUUUAGAUCUGGAGAAGAGAAAGGAAGAGCUCUGAAGCUGAACAAGGAUCGUCGUUUAGCACAGGAGAGGAAGAACGCUGGCAUGUUUGACGAGUAA